CCUUGAAUAAAGGCUUUGCCUUUCAAACUCUGUCCUGCCCAUUUUUCUUUGACAUGUUCAGAUGUUGGCAAGGCUGAAAACUGCAGGGGAUCUGGUUGUGAUAAUCCAGGCCUGAAUAUAUACAAAUAUGAACAAGACCCACAAGGACUGCUCAUCACCCCAGUAUUCCAUUUACAGCAUCCUGAAUGAACUCCCGACCAGGACUAUAAUUCUCUCUUGCAGCCAAAUAUCCUGCUUACUCCUGGUAUCUACCUGGUCAGCAGACCUCAUGAGUUAUCGCCCAGUGACAAAACCAUCCCAAAGAUGCACCAGUCCAGCACAAAGUAUGACUGUCAAUCUCACAAAAGAUGUAGGGUUCUAGGAGGAUACUCAGAGUAUAAGAAUUACGCUAAGUGAAAUAAGCCAAGCCCAGAAAGACACAUACUUUAUUAUUUCAUGUAUCUGUGGAAUCUAAAAGAGUCAAAUUCAUGGCAGCAGGGAGAGGGCUGAAGAAGGGGGAGAUGUUGAUCAAAGUUUCUAUGUAUGCAAAGACCAAACCAUCACAUUAUGCCUCAUAAAUAUAUACAAUUAUUAUUUGCUAAUUACAAGUAAAGCAAUAAAAGAAGAAAAAAAGGAAUCAUAAGUAAAUCCAUGACAAGUGAAAAUGCAAUGGAGAGAAGGGAAUCAAUGAUUGAAGAAGAGAAAGG
RNAcentral lists this non-coding RNA (686 nucleotides) under Pan troglodytes (chimpanzee). The record is from RNAcentral. Lineage: Eukaryota; Metazoa; Chordata; Mammalia; Primates; Hominidae.